CAGUCGCCACGGUAAUACGAAGGGUGCAAGCGUUAAUCGGAAUUACUGGGCGUAAAGCGUGCGCAGGCGGUUGUGUAAGACAGGUGUGAAAUCCCCGGGCUUAACCUGGGAACUGCGCUUGUGACUGCACAGCUAGAGUAUGGCAGAGGGGGGUGGAAUUCCACGUGUAGCAGUGAAAUGCGUAGAGAUGUGGAGGAACACCGAUGGCGAAGGCAGCCCCCUGGGCCAAUACUGACGCUCAUGCACGAAAGCGUGGGGAGCAAGCAGGAUUAGAGACCCCAGUAGUCCCUGUCUCUUAUAC
RNAcentral lists this ribosomal RNA (301 nucleotides) under uncultured bacterium. Its description in RNAcentral is "partial 16S ribosomal RNA". It matches the Rfam family "Bacterial small subunit ribosomal RNA", at positions 509 to 807 of the family's 1533-position model. The record is from RNAcentral.